AUACGUAGGUGACAAGCGUUAUCCGGAUCUACUGGGCGUAAAGGGCGUGUAGGCGGUCUUGCAAGUCAGAAGUGAAAUUCCUGAGCUCAACUCGGGCGCUGCUUCUGAAACUGCAGGACUUGAGUGCUGGAGGGGAUAGCGGAAUUCCUAGUGGAGCGGUAAAAUGCGCAGAUAUUAGGAAGAACACCGGUGGCGAAGGCGGCUAUCUGGACAGUAACUGACGCUGAGGCGCGAAAGCGUGGGGAGCAAACAGGAUUAGAUCCCCUGAUAGUCCACGCCGUAAACGAUGAAUACUAGGUGUAGGGGGUAUCGACUCCCUCUGUGCCGCAGUUAACACAAUAAGUAUUCCGCCUGGGGAGUACGGCCGCAAGGUUGAAACUCAAAGGAAUUGACGGGG
This 397-nucleotide ribosomal RNA is filed under the name uncultured bacterium. RNAcentral describes it as "partial 16S ribosomal RNA". It matches the Rfam family "Bacterial small subunit ribosomal RNA", at positions 523 to 918 of the family's 1533-position model. The record is from RNAcentral.